Molecule: long non-coding RNA, 564 nt
Filed under: Gopherus agassizii (Agassiz's desert tortoise)
Lineage: Eukaryota; Metazoa; Chordata; Testudines; Testudinidae
Description: lncRNA (ENSGAGG00000016093.1)
Source: RNAcentral
CAAAAAAAGACUCUAGUGAGCUGUUGUAUCUGAUAGACUAUUUUUUGUGUCCCACCAGGAGUGAAAUCAUUACUCGAUACAGAAAAGAAAAUAAACUAGUCCACACUCACGAGACACCUGGCUCCCAGCCAGGCAAAGGAGAAAAUAAGGACAGAAAAUCUCUUAGCUGCGUGGUGGAUUGGAGCUGAUGUAUCCUGCUCUCACUGUGGUGUAGAAAGCAGUCUAUUACAGUGCUGGAUUAAUCAAAGAGGCCUUUAUGGUUCGUGAAAGAAUAUCUAUGUGCUUAGACAGGAAACUUUUUGAUCCACUGAAAAGCCAGACGACAUCUAGGACCAGACAGGACAAUUUUAGACUCACACUUAUUGUGAUAUCCUCAGUGGUAAGUACCUUAACUGCAAUCAAGUUUACUGCAUUUUUUUUGUUGAGGAAAGGCCUCUUUUAAGAUCACAGUUGCUGCAGCUUAAUCACAUACCUUUGUAUGUAGUUCUUGAAUAAUAGGAUAGUAAUGUGAUAUACUGUAUAAUGCAAAUCAGAGCAAAGCACAAGUGGUUGCUAGCAUUUGUG